GUGUGAAACAGGAAUGGAUGCUGGACUAGAUGGGCCUCCUUGGGCCUGAUCCAGCAGGGCUGUUCUUGUUCUUAUUUCUCUUCUGGUCAGUCACUUACAGCUAGACCCUAUCAGUGUAUAUGUGAAUUUGGGUGUUUGGUUUUUUGCCCCAAUAUGCAUCACUUUGCACUUUUUUACAUUGAACCAAAUUUGCCAUUUUGUCACCCACUCUCCCAGUUUGAAGAGAUCCUUUUGGAGUUCCUCACAAUCUGUUUUGGAUUUUACUACCUGAAAUAGUUUAGUGUCACCUGCAAAUUUGACCCUCUGGUUACCCCAACCCUCAUCUCCUGCCUUGGGGGACCCCACUUCUAACUUAUCUCCAUAGAUCUCACCAUGAAAGCAAAGACUGUGCUGAGCAGAGUCUGCCAUGGUAUGCAUUUGAAUGGGAGACUACAUGUGGGAGCACACUAAGAGCUUCCCCUUAAGGGAUGAGGCCGCUCUGGGAAGAGCACCUGCUUGCUUUCCUGCAGAAGGUUCCAAGUUCCCUCCCCGGCAGCGUCUCCAGAUAGGGUUCCUGCCUACAACCUAAGAGAAGCUGCUGCCAGUCUGUGUAGACAAUCCUGAGCUAGAUGGACCAAGGGAAAGGACUGGAAAGUAGUCAACGUAGCACCUACAGUAUUUCCAAAAGGAGAUCCCAGGGGAUACAGGAAAUUGCAGACCAGUGAGCUUAAUGUCUGUGCCGAGCAAACUGAUGGAAAGCAUGCUCCAAGGUAGAAUUGUUAAGCAUGUCGAAGAAGAGGCCCUGCUGAGCUGCACGAGAACCGGCAUGACUUCUCUGGCAUGCUCCCUGGCAUAUGCUGCCAGCAGGGACAGGACCCCGGAAACCUAACAGCUGCUCACCAGCUGCCGGCCAGACCCAGAAAUGUGGCCCGGCUGCCGCUUCCACACAAAGUCCAGAUUCCUCGAAGGGCUGCUGCCAGCUUGGCAGUCAGGCUGCUCUCCUGCCAUGUAGCCUUGUCACUGAACCUUAAAUUACUUGUGAUGUCCUCAAAUCAUCUCAGCUGCAUCGUGGCACAGAAAUAGGAGGGCCCCAAAUAUACUGCCCACAGUGCCUGUAGUGCACUCCAUGGACUGGCCUGAAACAUACCAGCCAGGACGAGUAGGCCAGCAGCUAUGCUUUCAGUUCUGUUCGGUCAAGGUGCUCCCAUCAGAACACAGGAAGCUGCUGCUGCUGCUGCCUGCUGAGUCAGACUGAUGGUCCAUCCAGAGCAGCAUUGUCCACUCUGACUGGCAGUGGCUCUCACGGACUUCAGGCAGUAUUUGGAUUCCUCCCUCAAGGCUCAUGAUGGAUCUCUCUCUCUCUCUCUCUCUCUCUCUCUCUCUGCCGUGCCUCCUUCUGCUGGACUAAACCUCUCUUGGCAGAAGAACUUCUCUUCUCCUUGCUAAAGUAUCACUUGCUAAAAUUUCCUUGUUCUGCCCACUCCUACCUCUCUGGCAGAGUCCAGAUGGUGUCCCUUGGAGACUGUUGCGCUUCACAAGCUGAACUUUUGUAUGGAGUCUCCCAGGGUUCCAGACUGUCUCUGCUACUUUUUCAAAUCUACAGGAAACCGCUGGAAGAGGACAUCCAUCGGGAGGUUGGGGGCAGGGCAUCCGCAGAGGCCAGAACUUCACUGCCACCGCGUGGGUGGGCUGCUACAGGGGGCACCCGGGUUUCGAGGAGUGGCUGCAGCGGGAUCAGUAAGGACCACUUUGAAAGCUGCCCUCUCACGGCCGCCACCCACCCACCGUCCGGCCACCCUUAGAAUCCUUUGAAAGCCAGGAUUCUUCCUUGCUGGUAAAGGGGAUUCUGGAUUCCCCUUUAGAAGCAUCGCCCCUCAAACCAUCACACCAGAUCGACCCGGUCCACAACGUACCUGGCUCAGUUCGGUUCAGUCGUGGACUGGCCCGCCUCUUCUGGAAGCCGGUUCAGUUUGUGGUCAAAAUGUCGAACCGGCCCAGGUUGUUGCGGACCGGUUCCCUGUUGAACGGUUUGUGCACGCCUCUAGUAACAGAUAUUCGAGGUCUGUAUUUUAUUUGUUUGUUUUUUAAACUUUAUUCUUAAAUUUCUAUACCGCCUUUCAUUAAAACCAUCUCAGUGCGGUAUUGGGAAUGUAUACACUUUGUGCUCAUGACAAGAUAUAUUUGCAGAUUUAGUUUGCACAGUCAUUUACAGUGUAUUUUGUCUCUUUCGUGCCUGUUGAAUUGAGUGCUGAUUUGUUGAAUUGUAUAUUUUGGAUCUAAUUGGUUUGAUAUUGGUUACACAUACCAUAUUGACCUGAAUCCAAGACUUGUUUCCCCACCCCAGGUUCUUUGAUGUUAGAGAUCAGGGGGUCACCUUAAAUGCUAAGCCCUCUUCCUUUGGGGUAAAUAUAGGUAUAACUUUAACCUCUAUUUUGAAACCUCUAUUUUGUUGUGUUGUUUUUAAAUGUAUUUUAAUUGGUUCUAAAUCGUUUUAAUCCAUUUUGAAUUGUUCUUCUAUUGUUUUUAGCAUUGUUUUAAUUGUGGGGUUUAUGACUUUUGAUAAUUGUUGUACACUGCCCAGAGCCUCUGGACGGGGCAGUUUAUAAAUGUAAUAACUAAAUAAAUAAAUAAAUAAAUAAAUAAAUAAAAUUUAUAACCCGCACUUCCUCCAAGGAG
Molecule: long non-coding RNA, 2655 nt
Organism: Hemicordylus capensis (graceful crag lizard)
Lineage: Eukaryota; Metazoa; Chordata; Lepidosauria; Squamata; Cordylidae
Exons: 2
Source: RefSeq, a predicted model, not a curated record